Molecule: ribosomal RNA, 1890 nt
Filed under: Triticum aestivum (bread wheat)
Lineage: Eukaryota; Viridiplantae; Streptophyta; Magnoliopsida; Poales; Poaceae
Description: partial small subunit ribosomal RNA
Source: RNAcentral
AUGCGCCACCUGGAGUUCCAGAGGAUGCGCGUGACGCUGGCAAUCGGCGUGGUCGGCCUGUGCGCCACGGCGUACAUCCUUGGCGCCUGGCAAGGCACCUCGUCCGCCAUAAAGGACGCCCCCAGGCCUGUGUACGCCAAGACGCAGUGCGACGAAGCUGCCUCGCGUGCCCCCAGCAAUGCGUCAGGCGCCCCCAGCGUCGCCUCGGUGACAUCCUCGGGCGCCCGUCUCGAUUUCCAGGCCCACCACCGGGUGGCCUUCAACGAGUCGUUGCUGGCGACGGAGAUGAUCCCGCCGUGUCAGCUCAAGUACAGCGAGUACACCCCUUGCCAUGACCCGAGGACGGCGAGGAAGUUUCCAAAGGCGAUGAUGCAGUACAGGGAGAGGCACUGCCCCACAAAAGAAAAAUUGUUCCGGUGCCUGAUCCCUGCGCCCCCGAAGUAUAAGAACCCCUUCACGUGGCCGCAGAGUCGGGAUUAUGCGUGGUAUGAUAACAUCCCUCACCGGGAGCUGAGUAUCGAGAAGGCCGUGCAGAAUUGGAUUCAGGUUGAGGGGGACAGGUUUAGGUUCCCUGGUGGUGGCACGAUGUUCCCGCAUGGUGCUGAUGCUUAUAUCGAUGAUAUCGAUGCCCUCAUACCGUUAACUGACGGCAACAUCAGAACUGCACUUGAUACUGGAUGUGGGGUGGCAAGUUGGGGUGCUUUUCUUCUGAAGAGGGGCAUCAUCACCAUGUCAUUUGCACCAAGGGAUUCGCACGAGGCACAGGUACAGUUUGCGUUAGAGAGGGGAGUGCCGGCUAUGAUUGGAGUAAUGGCAACCGAUAGAAUCCCAUAUCCUGCUAGAGCAUUUGACAUGGCGCACUGCUCUAGAUGUUUGAUCCCAUGGAACAAGCUCGACGGUUUAUAUCUGGUUGAAGUAGACAGAGUUCUAAGACCAGGAGGCUACUGGAUCCUCUCUGGGCCUCCAAUCCGUUGGAAGAAGCACUACAAGGGGUGGCAAAGAACAGAGGAAGACCUGAAGCAAGAGCAAGAUGAGAUUGAGGACCUAGCAAAGCGCCUCUGCUGGAAGAAGGUGGUAGAAAAAGAUGACCUUGCCGUAUGGCAGAAACCUAUCAACCAUAUGGAGUGUGCUAAUAAUCGGAAUGCCGACGAAACUCCGCAGUUCUGCAACAGCAGUGAUGUGGACACUGCUUGGUACAAGAAGAUGGAGACAUGCAUAUCUCCUCUGCCGGAAGUGCAAACCGAGGAAGAAGCUGCUGGCGGAGCCCUCGAGAAAUGGCCAGAAAGAGCAUCCGCAGUUCCGCCGAGAAUAAACCGAGGUUCAGUUUCAGGCAUCACCCCUGAGAAGUUCGAAGAGGACAAGAAGUUGUGGGCAGAGCGAGCGGACCACUACAAGAAACUGAUCCCGCCACUGGCCAAGGGGCGAUACAGGAACGUGAUGGACAUGGAUGCGGGGAUGGGGGGUUUUGCUGCUGCGCUGAUGGAGUAUCCACUCUGGGUGAUGAAUGUGGUGCCUUCAGGUUCUGCUCCUGAUGCCCUCGGUGUUAUCUACGAGCGGGGGUUCAUCGGGACAUUCCAUGACUGGUGUGAGGCUUUCUCGACGUAUCCCAGGACGUAUGACCUCAUCCAUGCUGAUAAAGUGUUCAGCUUUUAUCAGGAUAGGUGUGACAUAACAUACAUUCUCCUGGAGAUGGACCGGAUUCUGCGGCCUGAAGGGACGGUGAUCUUCAGGGACACCGUGGAGAUGUUAGUGAAGAUACAAGCCAUCACCAAUGGCAUGAGAUGGAAGAGCCAGAUCGUGGAUCAUGAAUCCGGGCCGUUCAACCCUGAGAAGAUCCUUGUGGCCGUCAAAACUUACUGGACCGCGGAGCCUGCCCAAAAGCAGCAAUAG